This 253-nucleotide ribosomal RNA is filed under the name uncultured bacterium. RNAcentral describes it as "partial 16S ribosomal RNA". It matches the Rfam family "Bacterial small subunit ribosomal RNA", at positions 524 to 776 of the family's 1533-position model. The record is from RNAcentral.
UACGGGGGGGGCAAGCGUUGUUCGGAAUUACUGGGCGUAAAGCGCACGUAGGCGGAUCUUUAAGUCAGGGGUGAAAUCCCGAGGCUCAACCUCGGAACUGCCUUUGAUACUGGGGAUCUCGAGUCCGGGAGAGGUGAGUGGAACUGCGAGUGUAGAGGUGAAAUUCGUAGAUAUUCGCAAGAACACCAGUGGCGAAGGCGGCGAUCUGGGAAGAUACUGACGCUGAGGUGCGAAAGCGUGGGGAGCAAACAGG